UGCAGUCGAGCGGAACGAUCCCAGCUUGCUGGGAGGCGUCGAGCGGCGGACGGGUGAGUAAUGCAUAGGAAUCUGCCCGAUAGUGGGGGAUAACCUGAGGAAACUCAGGCUAAUACCGCAUACGUCCUACGGGAGAAAGCAGGGGCUCUUCGGACCUUGCGCUAUCGGAUGAGCUUAUGUCGGAUUAGCUGGUUGGUGAGGUAACGGCUCACCAAGGCGACGAUCCGUAGCUGGUCUGAGAGGAUGAUCAGCCACAUCGGGACUGAGACACGGCCCGAACUCCUACGGGAGGCAGCAGUGGGGAAUAUUGGACAAUGGGGGCAACCCUGAUCCAGCCAUGCCGCGUGUGUGAAGAAGGCCCUCGGGUUGUAAAGCACUUUCAGUGAGGAAGAAUGCUUGUCGGUUAAUACCCGGCAAGGGAGACAUCACUCACAGAAGAAGCACCGGCUAACUCCGUGCCAGCAGCCGCGGUAAUACGGAGGGUGCGAGCGUUAAUCGGAAUUACUGGGCGUAAAGCGCGCGUAGGCGGCUUGAUAAGCCGGUUGUGAAAGCCCCGGGCUCAACCUGGGAACGGCAUCCGGAACUGUCAGGCUAGAGUGCAGGAGAGGAAGGUAGAAUUCCCGGUGUAGCGGUGAAAUGCGUAGAGAUCGGGAGGAAUACCAGUGGCGAAAGCGGCCUUCUGGACUGACACUGACGCUGAGGUGCGAAAGCGUGGGUAGCAAACAGGAUUAGAUACCCUGGUAGUCCACGCCGUAAACGAUGUCGACUAGCCGUUGGGGUCCUCGAGACCUUUGUGGCGCAGUUAACGCACUAAGUCGACCGCCCUGGGGAGUACGGCCGCAAGGUUAAAACUCAAAUGAAUUGACGGGGCCCGCACAAGCGUGAAGCAUGGUGGUUUAAUUCGAUGCAACGCGAAGAACUUACCUACCCUGACAUC
Molecule: ribosomal RNA, 937 nt
Filed under: Halomonas caseinilytica
Lineage: Bacteria; Pseudomonadati; Pseudomonadota; Gammaproteobacteria; Oceanospirillales; Halomonadaceae
Description: bacterial SSU rRNA
Rfam family: Bacterial small subunit ribosomal RNA
Source: RNAcentral